GACGAACGCUGGCGGCGUGCUUAACACAUGCAAGUCGAACGGAAAGGCCCUGCUUUUGUGGGGUGCUCGAGUGGCGAACGGGUGAGUAACACGUGAGUAACCUGCCCUUUACUUUGUGAUAACUUCAGGAAACUGGGGCUAAUACCUGAUAUGAUCUCCUGCUGCAUGUUGGUGGUUGGAAAUUUUCGGCUGUUGGGGAUGGUCUCGCGGCUUAUCAGCUUGUUGUUUGGGUAGUGGCUUACCAAGGCUUUGACGGGUAGCCGGCCUGAGAGGGUGACCGGCAAAAAUGGGACUGAGAUACGGACCAGACUGCAACGGGAGGCAGCAGUGGGGAAUAUUGCAAAAUGGGCGGAAGCCUGAUGCAGCAACGCCGCGUGCGGGAUGAAGGCCUUCGGGUUGUAAACCGAUUUCGCCUGUGACGAAGAGUGAGUGACGGUAAUGGGUAAAGAAGCACCGGCUAACUACGUG
RNAcentral lists this ribosomal RNA (468 nucleotides) under uncultured bacterium. RNAcentral describes it as "partial 16S ribosomal RNA". It matches the Rfam family "Bacterial small subunit ribosomal RNA", at positions 28 to 507 of the family's 1533-position model. The record is from RNAcentral.